GAUGAACGCUGGCGGCGCGCCUAACACAUGCAAGUCGAACAGCACCCCACCUCGGUGGGAAGCGAGUGGCGAACGGCUGAGUAACACGUGGAGAACCCGCCCCCUCCUCCGGGAUAGCCUCGGGAAACCGUGGGUAAUACCGGAUGACGCCCGGACGACGCAUGUCGCCCGGGCCAAAGCCCAGACGGGAGGGGAUGGCUCCGCGGCCCAUCAGGUAGACGGCGGGGUGAAGGCCCACCGUGCCGACGACGGGUAGCCGGGUUGAGAGACCGACCGGCCAGAUUGGGACUGAGACACGGCCCAGACUCCUACGGGAGGCAGCAGUGGGGAAUCUUGCGCAAUGGGGGGAACCCUGACGCAGCGACGCCGCGUGCGGGACGAAGGCCCUAGGGUCGUAAACCGCUUUCAGCAGGGAUGAGACAAGACGGUAC
This 431-nucleotide ribosomal RNA is filed under the name uncultured bacterium. RNAcentral describes it as "bacterial SSU rRNA". It matches the Rfam family "Bacterial small subunit ribosomal RNA", at positions 28 to 478 of the family's 1533-position model. The record is from RNAcentral.